UACGAGGGGAGCAAGCGUUGUUCGGAUUUACUGGGCGUAAAGGGCGCGUAGGCGGCGCAACAAGUCACUUGUGAAAUCUCCGGGCUUAACUCGGAGCGGUCAAGUGAUACUGUCGUGCUAGAGUGCAGAAGGGGCAACUGGAAUUCUUGGUGUAGCGGUGAAAUGCGUAGAGAUCGGGAAGAACGCCAAGGGCGAAGGCACUCUGCUAGGCCUGAUUUCGCGACUGACACUCAGGGACGAGAGCCAGGGGAGCGAAUGGG
RNAcentral lists this ribosomal RNA (260 nucleotides) under uncultured prokaryote. RNAcentral's name for it is "partial 16S ribosomal RNA". It matches the Rfam family "Bacterial small subunit ribosomal RNA", at positions 524 to 776 of the family's 1533-position model. The record is from RNAcentral.